GAUGAACGCUGGCGGCGUGCCUAAUACAUGCAAGUCGAGCGAACAGACGAGGAGCUUGCUCCUCUGACGUUAGCGGCGGACGGGUGAGUAACACGUGGAUAACCUACCUAUAAGACUGGGAUAACUUCGGGAAACCGGAGCUAAUACCGGAUAAUAUAUUGAACCGCAUGGUUCAAUAGUGAAAGACGGUUUUGCUGUCACUUAUAGAUGGAUCCGCGCCGCAUUAGCUAGUUGGUAAGGUAACGGCUUACCAAGGCAACGAUGCGUAGCCGACCUGAGAGGGUGAUCGGCCACACUGGAACUGGGACACGGUCCAGACUCCUACGGGAGGCAGCAGUAGGGAAUCUUCCGCAAUGGGCGAAAGCCUGACGGAGCAACGCCGCGUGAGUUAUGAAGGUCUUCGGAUCGUAAAACUCUGUUAUUAGGGAAGAACAAAUGUGUAAGUAACUAUGCACGUCUUGACGGUACCUAAUCAGAAAGCCACGGCUAACUACGUG
RNAcentral lists this ribosomal RNA (497 nucleotides) under uncultured bacterium. RNAcentral describes it as "partial 16S ribosomal RNA". It matches the Rfam family "Bacterial small subunit ribosomal RNA", at positions 28 to 507 of the family's 1533-position model. The record is from RNAcentral.